GACGAACGCUGGCGGCGUGCUUAACACAUGCAAGUCGAACGGAAAGGCCCUGCUUUUGUGGGGUGCUCGAGUGGCGAACGGGUGAGUAACACGUGAGUAACCUGCCCUUGACUUUGGGAUAACUUCAGGAAACUGGGGCUAAUACCGGAUAGGAGCUCCUGCUGCAUGGGGGGGGUUGGAAAGUUUCGGCGGUUGGGGAUGGACUCGCGGCUUAUCAGCUUGUUGGUGGGGUAGUGGCUUACCAAGGCUUUGACGGGUAGCCGGCCUGAGAGGGUGACCGGCCACAUUGGGACUGAGAUACGGCCCAGACUCCUACGGGAGGCAGCAGUGGGGAAUAUUGCACGAUGGGCGGAAGCCUGAUGCAGCAACGCCGCGUGCGGGAUGACGGCCUUCGGGUUGUAACCCGCUUUCGCCUGUGACGAAGCGUGAGUGACGGUAAUGGGUAAAGAAGCACCGGCUAACUACGUG
This 468-nucleotide ribosomal RNA is filed under the name uncultured bacterium. RNAcentral describes it as "partial 16S ribosomal RNA". It matches the Rfam family "Bacterial small subunit ribosomal RNA", at positions 28 to 507 of the family's 1533-position model. The record is from RNAcentral.